GACGAACGCUGGCGGCGUGCUUAACACAUGCAAGUCGAACGGAAAGGCCCUGCUUUUGUGGGGUGCUCGAGUGGCGAACGGGUGAGUAACACGUGAGUAACCUGCCCUUGACUUUGGGAUAACUUCAGGAAACUGGGGCUAAUACCGGAUAGGAGCUCCUGCUGCAUGGUGGGGGUUGGAAAUUUUCGGCGGUUGGGGAUGGACUCGCGGCUUAUCGGCUUGUUGGUGGGGUAGUGGCUUACCAAGGCUUUGACGGGUAGCCGGCCUGAGAGGGUUACCGGCCACAUUGGGACUGAGAGACGGCCCAGACUCCUACGGGAGGCAGCAGGGGGGAAUAUUGCACAAUGGGCGGAAGCCUGAUGCAGCAACGCCGCGUGCGGGAUGACGGCCUUCGGGUUGUAAACCGCUUUCGCCUGUGACGAAGCGUGAGUGACGGUAAUGGGUAAAGAAGCACCGGCUAACUACGUG
RNAcentral lists this ribosomal RNA (468 nucleotides) under uncultured bacterium. RNAcentral describes it as "partial 16S ribosomal RNA". It matches the Rfam family "Bacterial small subunit ribosomal RNA", at positions 28 to 507 of the family's 1533-position model. The record is from RNAcentral.